RNAcentral lists this ribosomal RNA (254 nucleotides) under uncultured bacterium. Its description in RNAcentral is "partial 16S ribosomal RNA". It matches the Rfam family "Bacterial small subunit ribosomal RNA", at positions 524 to 776 of the family's 1533-position model. The record is from RNAcentral.
UACGUAGGGGGCAAGCGUUGUCCGGAUUUAUUGGGCGUAAAGAGCGUGUAGGCGGUUCGGUAGGUCCGUUGUGAAAACUCGAGGCUCAACCUCGAGACGCCGAUGGAAACCAUCGAACUAGAGUCCGGAAGAGGAGAGUGGAAUUCCUGGAUGUAGCGGUGAAAUGCGCAGAUAUCAGGAAGAACACCCGUGGCUAAGGCGGCUCUCUAGUACGGUACUGACGCUGAGACGCGAAAGCGUGGGGAGCGAACAGG